GACGAACCGUGCAAACGUUGUUCGGAAUCACUGGGCUUAAAGGGCGCGUAGGCGGCUUGCCAAGUCAGGGGUGAAAUCUUUCGGCUUAACCGGGAAAGUGCCUCUGAUACUGGCGAGCUAGAGGGAGGUAGGGGCAUGUGGAACUUCCGGUGGAGCGGUGAAAUGCGUUGAUAUCGGAGGGAACGCCGGUGGCGAAAGCGACGUGCUGGAUCUCUUCUGACGCUGAGGCGCGAAAGCUAGGGGAGCGAACGGG
RNAcentral lists this ribosomal RNA (253 nucleotides) under uncultured bacterium. RNAcentral describes it as "partial 16S ribosomal RNA". It matches the Rfam family "Bacterial small subunit ribosomal RNA", at positions 524 to 776 of the family's 1533-position model. The record is from RNAcentral.